CCUACGGGAGGCUGCAGUGAGGAAUAUUGGUCAAUGGACGAGAGUCUGAACCAGCCAAGUAGCGUGAAGGAUGACUGCCCUAUGGGUUGUAAACUUCUUUUAUAUGGGAAUAAAACGUUCCACGUGUGGGAUUUUGUAUGUCCCAUAUGAAUAAGGAUCGGCUAACUCCGUGCCAGCAGCCGCGGUACUACGGAGGAUCCGAGCGUUAUCCGGAUUUAUUGGGUUUAAAGGGAGCGUAGGUGGAUUGUUAAGUCAGUUGUGAAAGUUUGCGGCUCAACCGUAAAAUUGCAGUUGAAACUGGCAGUCUUGAGUACAGUAGAGGUGGGCGGAAUUCGUGGUGUAGCGGUGAAAUGCUUAGAUAUCACGAAGAACUCCGAGUGCGAAGGCAGUUCACUGGACUGCAACUGACACUGAGGCUCGAAAGUGUGGGUAUCAAACAGGAUUAGAUACCCUUGUAGUC
RNAcentral lists this ribosomal RNA (460 nucleotides) under uncultured bacterium. RNAcentral describes it as "partial 16S ribosomal RNA". It matches the Rfam family "Bacterial small subunit ribosomal RNA", at positions 338 to 795 of the family's 1533-position model. The record is from RNAcentral.